Molecule: ribosomal RNA, 463 nt
Filed under: uncultured bacterium
Lineage: Bacteria
Description: partial 16S ribosomal RNA
Rfam family: Bacterial small subunit ribosomal RNA
Source: RNAcentral
GACGAACGCUGGCGGCGUGCUUAACACAUGCAAGUCGAACGGUGAACCUCUUCGGAGGGGAUCAGUGGCGAACGGGUGAGUAACACGUGGGCAACCUGCCCCCGGCUCUGGGAUAACUCCAAGAAAUUGGGGCUAAUACCGGAUGUUCACCGCUUCCCGCAUGGGUGGUGAUGAAAAGGGUUUCCGGCUGGGGAUGGGCCCGCGGCCUAUCAGCUUGUUGGUGGGGUAGUGGCCUACCAAGGCGACGACGGGUAGCCGGCCUGAGAGGGUGACCGGCCACACUGGGACUGAGACACGGCCCAGACUCCUACGGGAGGCAGCAGUGGGGAAUAUUGCGCAAUGGGCGGAAGCCUGACGCAGCGACGCCGCGUGGGGGAUGACGGCCUUCGGGUUGUAAACCUCUUUCAGCAGGGACGAAGCGCAAGUGACGGUACCUGCAGAAGAAGCACCGGCCAACUACGUG